GAUGAACGCUGGCGGCGUGCCUAAUACAUGCAAGUCGAGCGAACGGACGAGAAGCUUGCUUCUCUGAUGUUAGCGGCGGACGGGUGAGUAACACGUGGAUAACCUACCUAUAAGACUGGGAUAACUUCGGGAAACCGGAGCUAAUACCGGAUAAUAUUUUGAACCGCAUGGUUCAAAAGUGAAAGACGGUCUUGCUGUCACUUAUAGAUGGAUCCGCGCUGCAUUAGCUAGUUGGUAAGGUAACGGCUUACCAAGGCAACGAUGCAUAGCCGACCUGAGAGGGUGAUCGGCCACACUGGAACUGAGACACGGUCCAGACUCCUACGGGAGGCAGCAGUAGGGAAUCUUCCGCAAUGGGCGAAAGCCUGACGGAGCAACGCCGCGUGAGUGAUGAAGGUCUUCGGAUCGUAAAACUCUGUUAUUAGGGAAGAACAUAUGUGUAAGUAACUGUGCACAUCUUGACGGUACCUAAUCAGAAAGCCACGGCUAACUACGUGCCAGCAGCCGCGGUAAUACGUAGGUGGCAAGCGUUAUCCGGAAUUAUUGGGCGUAAAGCGCGCGUAGGCGGUUUUUUAAGUCUGAUGUGAAAGCCCACGGCUCAACCGUGGAGGGUCAUUGGAAACUGGAAAACUUGAGUGCAGAAGAGGAAAGUGGAAUUCCAUGUGUAGCGGUGAAAUGCGCAGAGAUAUGGAGGAACACCAGUGGCGAAGGCGACUUUCUGGUCUGUAACUGACGCUGAUGUGCGAAAGCGUGGGGAUCAAACAGGAUUAGAUACCCUGGUAGUCCACGCCGUAAACGAUGAGUGCUAAGUGUUAGGGGGUUUCCGCCCCUUAGUGCUGCAGCUAACGCAUUAAGCACUCCGCCUGGGGAGUACGACCGCAAGGUUGAAACUCAAAGGAAUUGACGGGGACCCGCACAAGCGGUGGAGCAUGUGGUUUAAUUCGAAGCAACGCGAAGAACCUUACCAAAUCUUGACAUCCUUUGACAACUCUAGAGAUAGAGCCUUCCCCUUCGGGGGACAAAGUGACAGGUGGUGCAUGGUUGUCGUCAGCUCGUGUCGUGAGAUGUUGGGUUAAGUCCCGCAACGAGCGCAACCCUUAAGCUUAGUUGCCAUCAUUAAGUUGGGCACUCUAAGUUGACUGCCGGUGACAAACCGGAGGAAGGUGGGGAUGACGUCAAAUCAUCAUGCCCCUUAUGAUUUGGGCUACACACGUGCUACAAUGGACAAUACAAAGGGCAGCGAAACCGCGAGGUCAAGCAAAUCCCAUAAAGUUGUUCUCAGUUCGGAUUGUAGUCUGCAACUCGACUACAUGAAGCUGGAAUCGCUAGUAACCGUAGAUCAGCAUGCUACGGUGAAUACGUUCCCGGGUCU
RNAcentral lists this ribosomal RNA (1372 nucleotides) under uncultured bacterium. RNAcentral describes it as "bacterial SSU rRNA". It matches the Rfam family "Bacterial small subunit ribosomal RNA", at positions 28 to 1381 of the family's 1533-position model. The record is from RNAcentral.